Long non-coding RNA from Episyrphus balteatus (marmalade hoverfly), 246 nucleotides. RefSeq lists it as uncharacterized. The transcript has 2 exons. Lineage: Eukaryota; Metazoa; Arthropoda; Insecta; Diptera; Syrphidae. The record is from RefSeq and is a predicted model, not a curated record.
GAUUGGAGAAGAUCAAUUUGGAGUUUUCUUAAAUUAAAAAACAAUUAUAAUAAUUAUGAAUACUUUUAAAAUAUCAAUACAGAUUCAUCAGACGCCACAGCAACAUCAUCAGCAGCAACAACAACAACAAACACAACCUCAAAUGAUAACAGUAGUUAGCCCCAACAGUUCUGCAUUGUUAACCGUAACAUCUAAUGAUAACAACUCAGGGAAUAUGUAGACCACAAUUUUCUUAUCGGUAAGUUU